GACGUAGGGCGCGAGCGUUGUCCGGAUUUAUUGGGCGUAAAGAGCUCGUAGGCGGCUUGUCGCGUCGAAUGUGAAAUCUCAGGGCUCAACUCUGACAUUGCAUUCGAUACGGGCAGGCUAGAGUUCGGUAGGGGAGACUGGAGUUCCUGGUGUAGCGGUGAAAUGCGCAGAUAUCAGGAGGAACACCGAUGGCGAAGGCAGGUCUCUGGGCCGAUACUGACGCUGAGGAGCGAAAGCGUGGGGAGCGAACAGG
This 253-nucleotide ribosomal RNA is filed under the name uncultured bacterium. RNAcentral describes it as "partial 16S ribosomal RNA". It matches the Rfam family "Bacterial small subunit ribosomal RNA", at positions 524 to 776 of the family's 1533-position model. The record is from RNAcentral.